GCAUUUUAAGCAGCACAUAUACUAAAAUUGGAACGAUACAGAGAAGAUUAGCAUGGCCCUAGCCCAAGGAUGAAA
RNAcentral lists this small nuclear RNA (75 nucleotides) under Pan troglodytes (chimpanzee). The record is from RNAcentral. Lineage: Eukaryota; Metazoa; Chordata; Mammalia; Primates; Hominidae.